RNAcentral lists this long non-coding RNA (2708 nucleotides) under Homo sapiens (human). RNAcentral's name for it is "CYLD antisense RNA 1, transcript variant 1 (CYLD-AS1)". The record is from RNAcentral. Lineage: Eukaryota; Metazoa; Chordata; Mammalia; Primates; Hominidae.
AGAACACGCCAUUAACAAGGCCAGAACCCCGACUGCCAUUCCUGGACGGGAGCCACCAACACCCGCAAAAUCGAUCGGCUUCAUGACCACACUGCUGUAGGAAGCCAUAAGUUGGAAAUCAACGGGCCUGGCUUGAAGUGUGGCCUUAGGCAACACCGUUCUCAUCUACAUCUGGAUUCUCCAACAAAGCUGGGAAAAAAACGAUCCAAGGGAAGCCAAUCAAAGAGCCUGGAUUGCCAGUCUUCCCUGCUGCGAUCUCCGCCUGCGAUUCUCCAGGGGAAAUGUCCUUUAUGACCUUACAGCUCACCUGGAACCCUCCACCUAGGGCCCGAGGCAGCACAUCCUCUCGUGCCCGGGCACUUCCAGGCAUUGCCCUGAGUACUGGGCACUUCACACACUGGGCUGGACCACUCACCGGAGUGAAUAAGGAGGCUUGAAGCUGUCCUGGUACAACAAUGGAAUGAAGCGCUAGUCUCAGCUCAGCCACUUGGAAUAUGACUCCAACUCUCACAUUUCUGUGGGGUGUAUUCAUUUCAGCUUUUUGUUUGGUGCUAUGGGGAGGGAAGGGCCCUCAGACUGGCAUCCUUUUUCUUCCAGGAUGAUGAUGAAUAUUAUGAAAGUCUGAGGCUGUUUUUAAAAUUCUGCUCUAAUACGUUGUUUUUCUGUGCAUAAGAAUUAUGUAUUCUUAGCUGCAAAACUGGAAUCCGUCUGCUCAUGGAUAAACUUCUGGCCAUGAGCAUGUACCUUUCAGGUAACUUCCCUAUCAGAGAAGCUUACAAUCAAGAAUCCUACUUCCCUAGUUCCCUACACAGGCCCAGGAGGCUUUUGGUGGUAUCCGCUGGACUUUUGAAAAUUAGGGAAUUUCUCCUACUCUGAACUCUACCAGGAAUCACAUAUCAAGAUCUCAGUACCAUCUUACCUAGACCCUCUUGACCUCUUCUUUCUCCAUAAUCUCUUUCUAGCUCAUGUCAUCCAGACUCGAGGGCCCCAUUCUCAGUUUGACACUGAGGACACCCACGCUAUUAUCUCUGGCUGUGACCUUUCCCACGAGCUCCAAAUUCACACCAUCUUUUGACGUCUCCACUUAACUUCCCCAUUUCGGUGUCUCAAACUUGACAAUUCAAAACAGAACUCCCUCCCACUUCCAAACUGGUUUCCUACCCAACUUUCCCAGGCCCCCAGUUUCUCAAGUCAGAAAUCUAUGAGUCAUCCUUGAUGUUUGCCAUUCCCUCAUCCCUCCCAUCCAACCCAUUCGUAGGCUCUUGGGAAUCUACCUCCAAAAUGUCUCUGGAAUCCAUCCUCUUCUCUCCACCUCCACUGCCAACCGCCUCUCACCUGCAAUAGCUCUGAGGCAGCCUCCCCACUUCUUCUGCCUCCCAUCCCCACCCCUACAUAUUCCUGUCCUAUCUCCACCCAGAAGCAAACAAGAUCUUCUUUAACUGUAAAUUGGUUCACAUCUCCCCUGCUUAGAACUUUCCAAGGCCUUGACAUUAUUCCAAGAUCAAGACCAAACUCUUGACUGUGGCCAGUGAGACCUUUCCUGAACUGGUCCUACCUACCUCUGCAAACCCAUCUAGUGACACCUUUCCCUUAGCUUGCCUCCAACAUAGUGUAUUAGUUUCCUAUGGCUGCUGCAGGAAAUGACACAAAUUAUCCCCUUAUAGUCGUGGAAGCCAGAAGUCCAAAAUGGGCUGGAGCCAAGGCAGGCAGGGCUAUGCUGCUUGCAGAGGUUCUAGGGGAGAAUCUAUUUCUUGGUCUUCUUUGGCUUCUAGAGCUGCAAUCCUUGGCUCAUGGCGCCUUCCUCCACCUUCAGAGCCAGCAGUGUAGCAUCUUACUUGGUGAUCACAUUUCUUUCUUCUCCAGUGUCAUAUUUCCCUUUGCUUUACAUUGUCCUUUAAAUUUCUCUUAUAAGGAAACUGCGAUUGCAUUUAAGACCCACCCAGGUAAUCCAAGAUGAUCUUCCCAUCUCAAGACCCUUAACUGAAUCCCACCUCCAAAGUCCCUUUUGCCAGGUAAGGCAACAUUCCCAGGUCCCGGGGAUUAGGAUCUACAUAUGUUCGGGAGUGACUAUUGAGCCUACCAUGCAUACCACGCUCCUUCCCUCACCAGGGUCUUUGUACCUCUUGUCCCCCAUUACUAGAAUGCUCCCUUCUUCCCUCUCACUCUUUGCUUGGCCAUAUCUUUCUCAUUCUUGGGGACACAGCUUACCUGGCACCUCCUCAGACAACCUGUCUCGGACCAGCCCCUUAACAGCCUGAAGACUUUUUUUUUUUUUUUUUUGAUACGGAGUCUUGCUCUGUUGCCCAGGCUAGAGUGCAGUAGUGUGAUCUCAGCUCACUGCAACCUCUGCCUCCCGGGUUCAAGCAGUUCUCCUGCUUCAACCUCCCAAGUAGCUGGGAUUACAGGCACCUGCUACCAUGCCCGGCUAAUUUUUGUAUUUUUAGUAGAGACAGGGUUUCACCAUGUUGGCCAGGCUGGUCUCGAACUCCCGACCGCAAGUGAUCUGCCCACCUUGGCCUCCCAAAGUGCUGAGAUUACAGGCAUGAGCCACAGUGCCUGGAUGAAGACUUUUUCAUGUCUUUUUCAACUGACUUGUUUUCUGCCUGCCUCUCCCUCCACCCUCACCUAAGCACCUUGAGGACCAUGUCUGUUUUGUCAAUCCACUGGUCAUCCUAAUAUAACUGGUUAAUAAAUCAUUGCUGAAUUUA